GAGAGCCGGAUGCGGUGAAAGUCGCACGUCCGGUUCGGAGGGGGGCGGUUGGAAAAGUGCCCGCGAGGGUAACUCGCUGGCCGCCUACCCUAC
This 93-nucleotide non-coding RNA is filed under the name Tautonia plasticadhaerens. The record is from RNAcentral. Lineage: Bacteria; Pseudomonadati; Planctomycetota; Planctomycetia; Isosphaerales; Isosphaeraceae.